This 1036-nucleotide ribosomal RNA is filed under the name Acinetobacter baumannii. RNAcentral describes it as "partial 23S ribosomal RNA". It matches the Rfam family "Bacterial large subunit ribosomal RNA", at positions 1895 to 2925 of the family's 2925-position model. Lineage: Bacteria; Pseudomonadati; Pseudomonadota; Gammaproteobacteria; Moraxellales; Moraxellaceae. The record is from RNAcentral.
GUAAGCGAAGCUCUUGAUCGAAGCCCCAGUAAACGGCGGCCGUAACUAUAACGGUCCUAAGGUAGCGAAAUUCCUUGUCGGGUAAGUUCCGACCUGCACGAAUGGCAUAAUGAUGGCGGCGCUGUCUCCAGCAGAGGCUCAGUGAAAUCGAAAUCGCUGUGAAGAUGCAGUGUACCCGCGGCUAGACGGAAAGACCCCGUGAACCUUUACUGCAGCUUGACACUGAACUUUGACCUUACUUGUGUAGGAUAGGUGGGAGGCUUUGAAGCUGGAACGCUAGUUCCAGUGGAGCCGUCCUUGAAAUACCACCCUGGUAAUGUUGAGGUUCUAACUCUGUCCCGUGAUCCGGGACGAGGACCGUGUCUGGUGGGUAGUUUGACUGGGGCGGUCUCCUCCUAAAGAGUAACGGAGGAGUACGAAGGUGCGCUCAGCGUGGUCGGAAAUCACGCGUAGAGUAUAAAGGCAAAAGCGCGCUUAACUGCGAGACCCACAAGUCGAGCAGGUACGAAAGUAGGUCUUAGUGAUCCGGUGGUUCUGUAUGGAAGGGCCAUCGCUCAACGGAUAAAAGGUACUCUGGGGAUAACAGGCUGAUACCGCCCAAGAGUUCAUAUCGACGGCGGUGUUUGGCACCUCGAUGUCGGCUCAUCUCAUCCUGGGGCUGAAGCAGGUCCCAAGGGUAUGGCUGUUCGCCAUUUAAAGAGGUACGCGAGCUGGGUUUAGAACGUCGUGAGACAGUUCGGUCCCUAUCUACCGUGGGCGCUGGAAAUUUGAGAGGAUCUGCUCCUAGUACGAGAGGACCAGAGUGGACGAACCUCUGGUGUACCGGUUGUGACGCCAGUCGCAUCGCCGGGUAGCUAUGUUCGGAAGGGAUAACCGCUGAAAGCAUCUAAGCGGGAAGCCUACCUCAAGAUAAGAUUUCCCUAGGACUUUAUGUCCUCUAAAGAGCCGUUCGAGACUAGGACGUUGAUAGGUUGGAUGUGGAAGCAUAGUGAUAUGUGAAGCUGACCAAUACUAAUUGCUCGUGAGGCUUGACUAU